RNAcentral lists this unclassified non-coding RNA (337 nucleotides) under uncultured Glomeraceae. RNAcentral describes it as "sequence contains 18S rRNA gene". The record is from RNAcentral. Lineage: Eukaryota; Fungi; Glomeromycota; Glomeromycetes; Glomerales; Glomeraceae.
CCCAACUAUCCCUAUUAAUCAUUACGUCAAUCCUAGAAACCAACAAUAAGAUUAAACGUCCUAUUUUAUUAUUCCAUGCUAAUAUAUUCAAGCUUUAAAAACCUGCUUUAAACACUCUAAUUUUUUCAAAGUAACAGUCCUGAACUAAUUACAACAUCAAAUUAAUGACAUUAUAGUUUAUCAGAAGGGAGAAAUCAAUAAAAAUCAGUACGUAUCAUAGAUACGACCAAUUAAUUAAUUCCGAAAUUCAACUACGAGCUUUUUAACUGCAACAACUUUAAUAUACGCUAUUGGAGCUGGAAUUACCGCGGCUGCUGGCACCAGACUUGCCCUCCAA